AAGCAAUCCUCCCACCUUGGCCUCCCAAAGUGCUGGGAGUCCAGGCAUGAUCCACCAUGCCCAGCAAUGUUUUGCUCACCUUUACCUGAGUCAGGUAUCCCCUCUGUCCUUCCAGUCCCACGUGUGAUCAUACAGCCAUAACCCUGCACAGACAAGCUUCUUAAAAGGAAUACUAUGCCAGAUCUUGUUUUCUAGACACCACUUUCCACUAAAAGGAUAUGGGACUCGUUAGAGAAAUGGCUGGUUCCAGGGCUAGGACAGGAAAGUAUAAGAGGAGACCGAACAUCUUAUUGUGCCAAAAAAUAGAGGUGCUCGAAAAAUUAUGGGGAUAUAUAUCAAAUAGCUUGAAGGGCACUUUAUCUUACUUGACUUUUUAGUAGCGUAUGAAACUACUAAUCUCAUCCACCUUCUUGAAACUCUCUCCUCUAACAUCUGAUCUUCUGCUUCUGAUUAUCUUUCCUCAAUGACGGCUCCUUCUUUUUUUUUUUUUGAGACGGAGUCAUGCACUGUUGCCCAGGCCUAAUAAUUUUUACUCUCUACGUAUCUCUGGCAUCUCUUGGUCCCCUCUUCUCCUCCCUUAAUCCAGGCCAUUAUCAUUUCUCAGCUGAAUGACUCCAUCAGUCACUUAACAGUGUGCCCAGCAUGCCAUCACGCUCCCGUUCCAGCCCAUCCUCCAUAGUCUCCCUGUAGCCAGAAUGAAGGCUCUGAAUGCAUCAUCCCCUGCCAAAAAUCUUCUUUGGUUACAUUACCAGCUGUGUUUCUAACAUUUAAAUAGUAAAAUUAAAAAUCAGUGAGGUUAGCAAUGAAAAUAAACUUUUUUCUUUUCUCCCGAAAAGGAAUCAAGAAGGGUGGAGAGUGUAUUUGCAGAAGGAAUCAGCUGAGUUUGGAGACUAUUUUGAUAUCCUGAUUCUCUCUUAAGAAAUGAUGACUCAAUGCAAAUCAACAGGGUGGCAUGACUGCUAAAAAAAAAAUGUAAUGCAUUAUUGGCACCAUUCGUAAAAGUAUACUGUCCACAGUAAAAAAAAAAAAAAAAAAAAAAAA
This is a long non-coding RNA of Cercocebus atys (sooty mangabey), 1041 nucleotides long. RefSeq lists it as uncharacterized. The record is from RefSeq and is a predicted model, not a curated record. The transcript is spliced from 2 exons. NCBI's taxonomy places the organism in Eukaryota, Metazoa, Chordata, Mammalia, Primates, Cercopithecidae.